This 253-nucleotide ribosomal RNA is filed under the name uncultured bacterium. RNAcentral's name for it is "partial 16S ribosomal RNA". It matches the Rfam family "Bacterial small subunit ribosomal RNA", at positions 524 to 776 of the family's 1533-position model. The record is from RNAcentral.
UACGGAGGGGACUAGCGUUGUUCGGAAUUACUGGGCGGAAAGCGCGCGUAGGCGGAUUUGCAAGUCGGGGGUGAAAGCCCGAGGCUCAACCUCGGAACUGCCCUCGAUACUGCAAAUCUCGAGUCCGAGAGAGGUGAGUGGAAUUCCUAGUGUAGAGGUGAAAUUCGUAGAUAUUAGGAAGAACACCAGUGGCGAAGGCGGCUCACUGGCUCGGUACUGACGCUGAGGCGCGAAAGCGUGGGGAGCAAACAGG